This 414-nucleotide ribosomal RNA is filed under the name uncultured prokaryote. RNAcentral describes it as "bacterial SSU rRNA". It matches the Rfam family "Bacterial small subunit ribosomal RNA", at positions 505 to 918 of the family's 1533-position model. The record is from RNAcentral.
GUGCCAGCCGCCGCGGUAAUACGGAGGGAGCUAGCGUUGUUCGGAAUUACUGGGCGUAAAGCGCACGUAGGCGGCUUUUUAAGUCAGGGGUGAAAUCCCGGGGCUCAACCCCGGAACUGCCCUUGAAACUGGAAAGCUAGAAUACUGGAGAGGUGAGUGGAAUUCCGAGUGUAGAGGUGAAAUUCGUAGAUAUUCGGAAGAACACCAGUGGCGAAGGCGACUCACUGGACAGUUAUUGACGCGGAGGUGCGAAAGCGUGGGGAGCAAACAGGAUUAGAUACCCUGGUAGUCCACGCCGUAAACGAUGAUAACUAGCUGUCCGGGUUCAUGGAACUUGGGUGGCGCAGCUAACGCAUUAAGUUAUCCGCCUGGGGAGUACGGUCGCAAGAUUAAAACUCAAAUGAAUUGACGGGG